RNAcentral lists this ribosomal RNA (320 nucleotides) under Conothele sp. MYG538. Its description in RNAcentral is "partial 12S ribosomal RNA". The record is from RNAcentral. Lineage: Eukaryota; Metazoa; Arthropoda; Arachnida; Araneae; Ctenizidae.
UCUAGAAGAAAAAGGGUAAUACUUAAUAAGGAAACCCUCAUCACCUGGCGGCCCGAUUUCUUCUUAGAGGAACUCGUCUCAUAAUCGUCAAUCCUCGUUAUUUUUAACUUUUUCUUUUCUCUUAUACCGCCGUCUUCAGAAUCUAUUCCUUUUCAUAAAAAAAGAAUUUUACUAAGUCAGGUAAAGGUGAGGAAUAUGAAAAAGAGAAGAUAAGUUACUUAUAAAUACAAUUUUUGGAUUGUUAAUUAACACCUUCAUGAAACAGGAUUUGAUAGUAAUUUUUCACUAAUAUUUUACAAUGAACCAGUAAAAUUGGGUGU